Peromyscus eremicus (cactus mouse) is the source of this 428-nucleotide long non-coding RNA. RefSeq lists it as uncharacterized. The record is from RefSeq and is a predicted model, not a curated record. NCBI's taxonomy places the organism in Eukaryota, Metazoa, Chordata, Mammalia, Rodentia, Cricetidae. The transcript is spliced from 3 exons.
CUCCAGAUCAGAGAUCAAGUCAGGGCUAUCAUUCCAGCUACUCUAGUAGGGAGGCUGAAACAGGACGGACACAAGAAAGUCCAAGGUCCUAACCAGGCCAGGCUACAGGAUCAAAGGGAUGAUCUUGAAAGCCCAGACAUGGAUCAGAGAGCAAGAAAGCUGUGUGAUAAAUAGCUUUGACCUGGAAGUUCUAAUCCCCAUUGAGGCUUCGGUAACUGUCACGCCUACAAGGCGGGGCUGAGAGAGGAUGCUGAAGACCCGAGAUCCAGAUGCAUGGGCUCUCUUGGUUCCUGGACCCUGGACGCUGGAGCUAGACUGAGCAGAGUUCUCCAGAGACCACCAUCGGACUGCGCCACAUCUUUCCCAGACCCUGUUACCUAUCCCUUCACUUGUAAGUUACCCCACAAAAUAAACCUCCCUUUUAACUA